ACCAUUACCAAGCCCACCUCACGAUGAUACGAUGUUGGUUAGCAAAAAUAAUGAUGAGAGAAUAACGCUUUAGUCAUUUACAACUCUUGUAAUUACCUAUCUAGUUUGGCCUCUAGAGAAUGAUGACUCACAAUGAUAUGAUGUUGACACCAUUGCACUUAGUUAAGUUAUUCCCACCAUGCUAGUUCGUGUAGGGGUUCAAGAAUAGCCUCACAAUCAUAUGAUGUCGGCCAUCCUCGUUGCCUACCUCACUACAUCAUGUAUGUUCAUAUGGACUCCUCUUGAAUGUAAGCACAUACUUUGAACUUCCCCAUGAUAGGGUGAAGCCGGUGUAGGAGUCACAAACGAUUGGAGCCCACCAUAGUGGAAGGCCUACGAAGAGAUGUUCAAAGCAUCUCUCGCUUAUCAACUUAAUAUUCAUUU
This 423-nucleotide long non-coding RNA is filed under the name Malus domestica (apple). RNAcentral's name for it is "long non-coding RNA (MDOM_LNC020030)". Lineage: Eukaryota; Viridiplantae; Streptophyta; Magnoliopsida; Rosales; Rosaceae. The record is from RNAcentral.